AUUGAACGCUGGCGGCAUGCUUUACACAUGCAAGUCGAACGGUAACAGGCCGCAAGUUGCUGGCGAGUGGCGAACGUGUGAGUAAUGCAUCGGAACGUGCCCAGUCGUGGGGGAUAACUCCUCGAAAGAGUAGCUAAUACCGCAUACGAUCUAUGGAUGACAGCGGGGGACCGUACGGCCUCGCGCGAUUGUGGCGGCCGCUGGCAGAUUAGGUAGUUGGUGGGGUACAGGCUCACCAAGCCAACGAUCUGUAGCUGGUCUGAGAGGAUGACCAGCCACACUGGGACUGAGACACGGCACAGAGUCCUACGGGAGGCAGCAGUGGGGAAUUUUGGACAAUGGGCGGAAGCCUGAUCCAGCAAUGCCGCGUGCAGGAAGAAGGCCUUCGGGUUGUAAACUGCUUUUGUACGGAACGAAACGGCUCUGGUUAAUACCCGGGGCUAAUGACGGUACCGUAAGAAUAAGCACCGGCUAACUACGUG
Molecule: ribosomal RNA, 482 nt
Filed under: uncultured bacterium
Lineage: Bacteria
Description: partial 16S ribosomal RNA
Rfam family: Bacterial small subunit ribosomal RNA
Source: RNAcentral